RNAcentral lists this unclassified non-coding RNA (3622 nucleotides) under Leishmania donovani. RNAcentral describes it as "gene:LdHU3.09.0490(CDS-product:Ring_finger_domain /RING-H2_zinc_finger_containing_protein_putative)". The record is from RNAcentral. Lineage: Eukaryota; Euglenozoa; Kinetoplastea; Trypanosomatida; Trypanosomatidae.
AAUUUCUGUCACUGAGAGCGGUGCGGUACGCAUCGAGGCAGCAGUCGUUUUGUGCCCUACGCGUAGACCCCCCCCCAAACACACACACACACACGAAACCCCUGCACGCGGGGGGAGGGCGGAGUACACGUAAUCACACAAGUUGCACUUCGUAGCACUAUACAUAAAUAUAUAUCUGUGCCUUGUUCGCCUGCUGCCCUCCGAGCACACCACCCUUUCACCCUUCCCCCUCCUCCUCCCUGAGUUCGAAGAGUGAGAGGAGACGGAGGGGCUCCACAUUAGCCGCUGGCAACAAGUCUCUCCGUUUGUACGUCUGUACGUGUGCGUGUGUGUGUGUGUGUGUGUGGCAGGCUUUGUGCAGGGGAGGGGGUUCAGCUGCACCGUAGGGGUGUGGUCGUCCGCCACUCAUGAAAUCCUUGGCCAGGGAGUUCAGGGAGCUCGAGGCGACGAGCCAACUCCCGCCGUCUACACCGCAGCAGUGCCUCACACCGUCCACUGUACUCUUACCUGCUGCUGUCGGUACGGUGCCGCCGCAGCUGAGCCCGUUCGUCGCCAGCACCGCAGCGGCGUUGUCUCCGCAAGCGUCUAUACAGAUGCGCAUGGCGCCGCUUCUGGGUCUCAGCUCUUUCCCUAGAUCGCCGCUGCACAACGGCAGCACGACAUUGCAGACGACUAACGAUGGCUGCCCGGACGCCCGCGCGGACCGCGUUGGCAGUAGAAGCUGUUCGGUCAUCAAUUUGUUCGACUGGCCCUCACCUCCGACUCCGUCCGUCGCGCUGCGCAUCGGUGGCGGCAGUCGUGACAGCGACCCGUCAGGUACCACACACGCUCACGCCGCACCCGCCUCCCGCAGCGCCGACGAAGACUCAGCGCUUGGCCCUCUCACCUCCUCCUCCUCCACCGCAACGACGCGCCUGUCGCAGGGCACGCCGGAGAACUCGUUCAUGAUGAACACCACCUCGGCGCACCAGUCCAAUGCCGAGGAAGCAACGUCGGCGACGGCCACAGCCAACAGAACGGGUAGCGGUAGUUGGCGCAGAAGCCGCUCCGACGCCCGCUUGGACAGGGACCAACGCUGCUCGACGACCCCGCCCUACCCACAAGUACAAGCGCACCACCAACAGCCGCUCCCAGCGUGUGACGCAUCGUUGGCGUGGGUAUCGACGCUUGCGUGUGAUCCCAGCGGCCUCAGCACACUGGGCGUCGGCGGCGCAGCGUCGCAACCGGGACCUGUGCACCACUACGCGCCGCCCUUCCCUUCCUUUGCAGAAGGCGUGUGUGCCCUCUACCCUCUUACGAGCGUCAUGGAGCCCACAGCACCGGCACCAGCAGCAGCCCCAUCGAUCCCGUCAAGGGCAGCAUCGCGCGAGCAAGUGAACAGUGGACCGCCUUCGAUGGCCGCCAAGCACGAAACUCUUCAUCAGGCGCCAGGGCAGCCGCAGACGCCUCUUUCCACCACCACCGUCACUGCGUCGCCGAUGUCGCCGACGACUGCGCCCGUGCAGCUGUCGCUGCAAGAAAAGCUGCUGAUUUCGGCACCUCUGCCCCCGAGGAGCGGCCGUGGCACGCCGUCAUCGACGCCUCGCGUCGCACCAUCACCACCGCAACGUCGCUGUAGCUCGGCAACGAACCCGUUCAUCAGCACGGUCGGUGUGAAGCCCAACGCCGGCAAGAGCAGACGAGGAAGCUCCACCACCACUGCCGCGGCUGCAGCAGCAAUGGCAGCCGCAUUCACCUCAAGCCAGCUUGCGCCCUCGCCUGCAGCGCCGGCUACGGCCACACCGCCAUCACCGCCGCCUUGCAUGCGCCUCAGAAGCACCGGUAACGGAACCAUUGCGUACAGCAAUCCCAACAGCACGAGCGUGUGCAGUAUUCUGAGCACCGUUGCCUUUGUCCCCAUCGAGGUGCAGCCGGCCAUCCCCUCCGCCUCUCCCUCUUUCCUUGCGACCAGCCCGUGCCAAUCACCCGCCAACGCAGCCGUCAGCGCCAGUGACUCUGGGACUUUCAUCUCCGGUGUGGCAGCCGCGUCGGCACCUCCGACGUUCGACCGAAGGCUCUCCGCCGCGAGCGCCGUACCCUACACGCCCUCCGUGCCGAAGAUGGCCGCACUUGAGCAGCCAGGCCAAGCCUCUGCUGGCCCGCGAGCGUCGGCGACGCCACCGCUGCAGCGGAACCCCGCCUUCCCCACGGCGCAGCCAGUUCAGAACCCGGCGCACUGGUCGGUCCCAUGCACACCGGCGGUGCCCAUGACAGUCUUCCUCGCAGCCCCAGAGAUGGGCUGGCACUCCUUGACGGGCGGCGUGACGACCCCGCCGGCGAGUAGCGUCGGCGUCGCCAUACCUGACCCGUGCAGCCAGAACUUCUUUGUUGGCUGCGGCGUUCGGGGCACGGGGGCGUCCAUCUUGGAUGGCUGCUCGUCGACUGCCUCCAUCGCGGCGCCGCUGGCCACGUCGCCGGCGUCAUCGGCAGCACUCGAUUCGCAGCGCACAAGCGGCAGCCGUGGUGCUACGUGGACGUCGGCGGGACAGACGUACCGGAAUGUGCUCGUCUAUGGAGGUGGUGGCACCAGCGGUCAUGGCAGUGGAUGCGCCACGGCCGUCACAGCAUCGGGGAACAGCCACAGCCUUGGUCUUCCCCUCUACUCCUCACAGCCGCAGCUUCUCUGCACGCCGGUGCCGCUCGACGACACGGAGAGCGUAUGUGCGAUUUGUCUAGAGGGCCGCGUGUCGAAGACCGGAACGACGGAGACGAGAGAGACGACAGCGCUGCCAUCGGCACCUCUGCAACUGCCGCAUGCGGCGGAGGAGGGGGCAAGCCAGGAAAGGGACAGCGCCGCAGCAGUGAUGAGCGAUACGAUGCCAGCCGACGAAGGAGCCGAGCGUGGGGCCGUGCGCGGUGUCAAGCCCGGCUCCUGCCUCCUCUCGCUUCCUUGCGGUCACUGCUACCACCAAAACUGCGUGCAGCGGUGGCUGAUGGAGUCGCAGAGCUGUCCCACCUGCCGCCGCGACCUCACGCGCGACGCCACCAUCAACUGAUCAGAGAGAAGCGGAAGGAAACAGACGGAUGCACGGUACUCGUGAGGGCACGCUGAUCCGCUGGGGCGUACGGAAACGAUCACGGCGGCAUGUCAAACGGAGGACGGAUGCAGGGUCUCUCUCAUCCUCCUCCAUGCACCCCGCUCCUGCACUUCCAGAAAGCAGAGCACAGCCGUCGGCGUGUGUGUGUGUGUAUUGUGUGUACUGUAUGUGUUGGCGUGGGUGCCGUCUCCUGGUGGCAGGCUCGUAGGUGUCGCGGCACAUGGGGGGAGGGGGCACACAUCCUGGCACUGUUCUUUCUAUGCUUUGUGGCUCGGUGAUGUCGUCCAAGCGUGCACACACACAUAUAUAAGCAAGCACAGGAGGUGGUCGCUUGCCAUCCAGUCCUGCCGCCUGCGCUGUCUCCCGUUGCAACGGUCGUGCCUGGUCGUCAUCUCUCUGGUGUGUACCCUCGCCGUCUGCACGCACAGAGAGGUAUGCUUCUCCCUCCUCCUCUCGAUACACACGCAUGCACGCAUACGCAUACGGCCACGACAGCUCAUGGAUACCCCCUACCGACUCCUCCUCUCUCCUCUCUAUGCGCGCAG